UUUCCGUAGGUGAACCUGCGGAAGGAUCAUUAACACUAAUCCAAAAAUCUUAACCGAUCCCUUAGUGCAUCAAUAGUGAGUGCUAGCGAAAGCAGGCUGCUUCUAUUGGCGCAUCGUAAAUCUCUAAACAAAGGAGACUAACUAAGCCCAAUACCAAAACCAAAUUCUCAACGAUGGAUAUCUUGGUUCCC
This 191-nucleotide unclassified non-coding RNA is filed under the name plant metagenome. Its description in RNAcentral is "partial contains small subunit ribosomal RNA, internal transcribed spacer 1, and 5.8S ribosomal RNA". The record is from RNAcentral.